AAAUGCCGGUGGAAAUCCAUUCUACACCAUGUGUGUAAUGAGCAUGAGCGGACAGAUGAUGACGGAGGACAGCAUCGGUGUGACCAUGCUCCUCUAACAGCACAGGAGCAAAAGCAUUUGGAUGAAGAAGGAUUCUGUGGCAUUUUAAGACCUGUCAUCGCUGGUCCUGGACAAAAGGCUUCUGAGAGACAUGGAAAAGAUGGCCCUGUUCAAACAUACUGGGCCGCUGGAAGUCUUUCACAGCGCACUUUUGAAAUACCUCCCCAAUGUUAGUUCCUGCACUACAAUGGAGAAGCACGGUUCAACCAAAUGUUCUGCAAUAGAUCCAGGCAGUGGGUCUUGAAGAAAAUCUUCAUACUACACACAACACAGUUUGUAGACAAACUCAUCCAGAAGGCCAUUGACAAGACUCAAUCCAAACAUUGUGUUCAAGGUGCCAACCUCCUCACUUGCCCUGCAACAGCCUGCGCUGCCACCCAACAUUGCACCAGUGCCUAAACCAUCAAAGGAGGCUGCCACGACUUCUUUUAAUAGUCACUUCUGAGACUGACACUUUCUAAUAAUAAUAAUAAUCACCUUUUCCCUGAGUCCUAUUGCUGUGUCUAAUCAGAUUCUGCCACCACUCUUUAUAUUUAUAUUAUUAUAUACUGUGUGUAUAUACACACAUAUAAUGAUUAUUUAUUUUUUUGCUUUGUUUUUA
Paramisgurnus dabryanus is the source of this 700-nucleotide non-coding RNA. NCBI's taxonomy places the organism in Eukaryota, Metazoa, Chordata, Actinopteri, Cypriniformes, Cobitidae. The record is from RefSeq and is a predicted model, not a curated record.